GACGAACGCUGGCGGCGUGCUUAACACAUGCAAGUCGAACGGAAAGGCCUGCUUUCCCUUGUGGAUUGCGGGUACUCGAGUGGCGAACGGGUGAGUAACACGUGAGUUAUCUGCCCCCAACUUGGGUAUAAGCCUGGGAAACUGGGUCUAAUUCCCGAUAGGACUGCAGGGUGGUGCCUGUGGUGGGAAACGAUUUUCUAGUGGUUGGGGAUGAGCUCGCGGCCUAUCAGCUUGUUGGUGGGGUAAUGGCCUACCAAGGCGGCGACGGGUAGCCGGCCUGGGGGGGUGGACGGCCACAUUGGGACUGGGAUACGGCCCAGACUCCUACGGGAGGCAGGAGUGGGGAAUAUUGCACAAUGGGCGGAAGCCUGAUGCAGCGACGCCGCGUGGGGGAUGACGGCCUUCGGGUUGUAAACUCCUUUCGACCGCGAGGAAGCCACCUGGUUGGAAGGGUGGUGACGGUAGUGGUAGAAGAAGCACCGGCUAACUACGUG
RNAcentral lists this ribosomal RNA (494 nucleotides) under uncultured bacterium. RNAcentral describes it as "partial 16S ribosomal RNA". It matches the Rfam family "Bacterial small subunit ribosomal RNA", at positions 28 to 507 of the family's 1533-position model. The record is from RNAcentral.